CAAUAGCGUAUAUUAAAGUUGUUGCGGUUAAAAGCUCGUAGUUGGAUUUCUGUGGAGGACGACCGGUCCGCACUUUGUGCGUGCAUCUGGUACGGCCUUUGCAUCCUCUUGUGGAACGCUACUGCGCUUGAUUGCGUGGUGCGGUAUACAAGACUUUUACUUUGAGGAAAUUAGAGUGUUCACGGCAGGCAUGCGCCUUGAAUAUAUUAGCAUGGAAUAAUAUUAUAGGACGAAACGCCUAUUUUGUUGGUUUCUAGGUGUAUCGUAAUGAUUAAGAGGGACAAUUGGGGGUGCUCGUACUACAACGUCAGAGGUGGAAUUCUUAGAUUGUUGUAUGACGUACUACUGCGAAAGCAUUCACCAAGGAUGUUUUCAUUGAUCAAGAACGAAAGUUUGGGGAUCGAAGAUGAUUAGAUACCAU
RNAcentral lists this ribosomal RNA (421 nucleotides) under uncultured eukaryote. RNAcentral's name for it is "SSU rRNA". It matches the Rfam family "Eukaryotic small subunit ribosomal RNA", at positions 592 to 1018 of the family's 1831-position model. The record is from RNAcentral.